This 429-nucleotide ribosomal RNA is filed under the name Chloroflexota bacterium. RNAcentral describes it as "Chloroflexi bacterium partial 16S ribosomal RNA". It matches the Rfam family "Bacterial small subunit ribosomal RNA", at positions 355 to 776 of the family's 1533-position model. Lineage: Bacteria; Bacillati; Chloroflexota. The record is from RNAcentral.
UGGGGAAUAUUGCACAAUGGGCGCAAGCCUGAUGCAGCCAUGCCGCGUGUAUGAAGAAGGCCUUCGGGUUGUAAAGUACUUUCAGUCGGGAGGAAGGGAGUAAAGUUAAUACCUUUACUCAUUGACGUUACCCGCAGAAGAAGCACCGGCUAACUACGUGCCAGCAGCCGCGGUAAUACGUAGGUGGCAAGCGUUGUCCGGAUUUAUUGGGCGUAAAGCGAGCGCAGGCGGUUUCUUAAGUCUGAUGUGAAAGCCCCCGGCUCAACCGGGGAGGGUCAUUGGAAACUGGGAGACUUGAGUGCAGAAGAGGAGAGUGGAAUUCCAUGUGUAGCGGUGAAAUGCGUAGAUAUAUGGAGGAACACCAGUGGCGAAGGCGGCUCUCUGGUCUGUAACUGACGCUGAGGCUCGAAAGCGUGGGGAGCAAACAGG